UACGGAGGAUUCGAGCGUUAUCCGGAUUUAUUGGGUUUAAAGGGUGCGUAGGCGGACUGGUAAGUCAGCUGUGAAAGUUUACGGCUCAACCGUGAAAUUGCAGUGGAUACUGUUGGUCUUGAGUAUACAUGAGGUGAGCGGAAUUUGUGGUGUAGCGGUGAAAUGCUUAGAUAUCAGAAAGAACUCCAAUUGCGAAGGCAGCACACUGGGCUAUAACUGACGCUGAUGCACGAAGGCGUGGGUAGCAAACAGG
This 253-nucleotide ribosomal RNA is filed under the name uncultured bacterium. RNAcentral's name for it is "partial 16S ribosomal RNA". It matches the Rfam family "Bacterial small subunit ribosomal RNA", at positions 524 to 776 of the family's 1533-position model. The record is from RNAcentral.